AACUUUCACACGGAUCUCUUGGCUCACGCAUCGAUGAAGAACGCAGCGAAAUGCGAUAAGUAAUGUGAAUUGCAGAAUUCAGUGAAUCAUCGAAUCUUUGAACGCACCUUGCGCUCUCUGGUAUUCCGGAGAGCAUGCCUGUUUGAGUGUCA
RNAcentral lists this ribosomal RNA (152 nucleotides) under uncultured fungus. RNAcentral's name for it is "partial 5.8S ribosomal RNA". It matches the Rfam family "5.8S ribosomal RNA". From Rfam's summary of the family: 5.8S ribosomal RNA (5.8S rRNA) is a component of the large subunit of the eukaryotic ribosome. The record is from RNAcentral. Lineage: Eukaryota; Fungi.